UCCCUGGUGGCUCAGAUGGUAAAGAAUCCGCCUGCAAAGCAGGAGACCUGGGUUCAAUCCCUAGGUUGGGAA
This 72-nucleotide transfer RNA is filed under the name Ovis aries (sheep). It matches the Rfam family "tRNA". Rfam says of the family: Transfer RNA (tRNA) molecules are approximately 80 nucleotides in length. Their secondary structure includes four short double-helical elements and three loops (D, anti-codon, and T loops). Further hydrogen bonds mediate the characteristic L-shaped molecular structure. tRNAs have two regions of fundamental functional importance: the anti-codon, which is responsible for specific mRNA codon recognition, and the 3' end, to which the tRNAs corresponding amino acid is attached (by aminoacyl-tRNA synthetases). tRNAs cope with the degeneracy of the genetic code in two manners: having more than one tRNA (with a specific anti-codon) for a particular amino acid; and 'wobble' base-pairing, i.e. permitting non-standard base-pairing at the 3rd anti-codon position. The record is from Rfam by way of RNAcentral. Lineage: Eukaryota; Metazoa; Chordata; Mammalia; Artiodactyla; Bovidae.